CGGCGUGCAGCGCAGUCGGUCAGCGCACCUGCCCUGGGAGCAGGGGCUCGCAAGUUCGAAUCUUGCCGCCCCGA
RNAcentral lists this transfer RNA (74 nucleotides) under Blastocatellia bacterium AA13. RNAcentral describes it as "tRNA-Pro". It matches the Rfam family "tRNA". Rfam says of the family: Transfer RNA (tRNA) molecules are approximately 80 nucleotides in length. RNAcentral also lists the same sequence under 1 other name. The record is from RNAcentral. Lineage: Bacteria; Pseudomonadati; Acidobacteriota; Blastocatellia.